UGACAGAGGUCGGUGGAAUUCGUAGUGUAGCGGUGAAAUGCAUAGAUAUUACGAAGAACACCAGUGGCGAAGGCGGCCGGCUGGGUGACAGAGGUCGGUGGAAUUCGUAGUGUAGCGGUGAAAUGCAUAGAUAUUACGAAGAACACCAGUGGCGAAGGCGGCCGGCUGGGUCAGUAUUGACGCUGAGGCACGAGAGCGUGGGGAGCGAACAGGAUUAGAUACCCUGGUAGUCCACGCUGUAAACGAUGUAUGCUAGUUGUUGGGCCUAUGGGUUCAGUGACGCAGUUAACGCAGUAAGCAUACCACCUGGGGAGUACGUUCGCAAGAAUGAAACUCAAAGGAAUUGACGGGGGCCCGCACAAGCGGUGGAGCAUGUGGCUUAAUUCGAUGCAACGCGAAGAACCUUACCCGGGCUAAAUCCACGAUGACCGCUCCCGAAACGGAGCUUCCCUUCGGGGCAUCAUGGAAGGUGCUGCAUGGCUGUCGUCAGCUCGUGCCGUGAGGUGUUGCCUUAAGUGGCGCAACGAGCGCAACCCCUGUGGUUAGUUACCAGCACGUAAUGGUGGGGACUCUAGCCAGACUGCCUACGCAAGUAGUGAGGAAGGUGGGGACGACGUCAAGUCAUCAUGGCCCUUAUGUCCGGGGCUGCACACGUGCUACAAUGGAUGGUACAGAGGGAAGCUACCCAGCGAUGGGCUGCAGAUCUCGAAAGCCAUUCCCAGUUCGGAUUGGAGUCCGCAACUCGACUCCAUGAAGGUGGAAUCGCUAGUAAUCGCGUAUCAGCAAUGACGCGGUGAAUACGUUCCCGGGCCUUGUACACACCGCCCGUCAAGCGAUGGAAGUCAGGAGUACCUGAUGUCGGCGUGCCAACCCUUCGGGGAGGCAGCUGCCUAGGGUAAGCCUGGUAACUGGCGCUAAGUCGUAACAAGGUAGCCGUACCGGAAGGUGCGGCUGGAUCACCUCCUU
RNAcentral lists this ribosomal RNA (966 nucleotides) under uncultured bacterium. Its description in RNAcentral is "bacterial SSU rRNA". It matches the Rfam family "Bacterial small subunit ribosomal RNA". The record is from RNAcentral.